This 329-nucleotide ribosomal RNA is filed under the name Capnocytophaga sp. B0611. RNAcentral describes it as "bacterial SSU rRNA". It matches the Rfam family "Bacterial small subunit ribosomal RNA", at positions 106 to 434 of the family's 1533-position model. Lineage: Bacteria; Pseudomonadati; Bacteroidota; Flavobacteriia; Flavobacteriales; Flavobacteriaceae. The record is from RNAcentral.
GUGCGUAACGCGUAUGCAACCUACCUUUCACAGGGGGAUAGCCCGAAGAAAUUUGGAUUAAUACCCCAUAAUAUUAUUGGAUGGCAUCAUUUGAUAAUUAAAAUUACGAUGGUGAAAGAUGGGCAUGCGUCCUAUUAGCUAGUUGGAGUGGUAACGGCACCCCAAGGCUACGAUAGGUAGGGGUCCUGAGAGGGAGAUCCCCCACACUGGUACUGAGACAGGGACCAGACUCCUACGGGAGGCAGCAGUGAGGAAUAUUGGUCAAUGGUCGGAAGACUGAACCAGCCAUGCCGCGUGCAGGAAGAAUGCCUUAUGGGUUGUAAACUGCU